UACGUAGGGGGCAAGCGUUGUUCGGAAUUACUGGGCGUAAAGGGCGUGUAGGCGGCACAGCAAGUCGGGAGUGAAAGCCCGGGGCUCAACCCCGGAAUGGCUUUCGAAACUGCUGAGCUAGAGUACAGAAGGGGCAACCGGAAUUCCCAGUGUAGCGGUGAAAUGCGUAGAUAUUGGGAAGAACACCUGAGGCGAAGGCGGGUUGCUGGGCUGAUACUGACGCUGAGGCGCGAAAGCCAGGGGAGCAAACGGG
This 253-nucleotide ribosomal RNA is filed under the name uncultured bacterium. Its description in RNAcentral is "partial 16S ribosomal RNA". It matches the Rfam family "Bacterial small subunit ribosomal RNA", at positions 524 to 776 of the family's 1533-position model. The record is from RNAcentral.